Molecule: RNA transcript, 1213 nt
Organism: Pseudopipra pipra
Lineage: Eukaryota; Metazoa; Chordata; Aves; Passeriformes; Pipridae
Gene: PPA2
Gene name: inorganic pyrophosphatase 2
Exons: 13
Source: RefSeq, a predicted model, not a curated record
GACGGCGGCCGCAGGAAGGGGAGGGCGGCCGCCGCCAUCAUGCGGGCGCCGCGGGGGCUGUCGCGGCUGCUGCUGGCGGCGCGGGGGUGGGGGCGCCUGGGCGCCAUGGCCCGCUACAGCACGGAGCAGCGAGGCCGGCCCAACUCGCCCGAUUACCGCCUCUACUUUAAGAAUGCAGAUGGUAAAUAUAUUUCCCCAUUUCAUGACAUUCCACUGUUGGCUGCAUCUAAAGAGGAUAAAGAAAUUCCUGCAAAGAGGGCAAAGACUACUGGAUCUGAGGUCCUAUAUAAUAUGAUUGUAGAAGUGCCUCGUUGGACUAAUGCAAAAAUGGAGAUUGCCACUGAGGAGCCGUUGAAUCCCAUUAAACAAGAUAUAAAGAAAGGGAAGCUUCGAUAUGUGGCAAAUAUCUUUCCUCACAAGGGUUAUAUAUGGAAUUAUGGUGCCCUCCCACAGACCUGGGAAGAUCCAAACCAUACAGAUACCAUUACAGGAUGUUGUGGGGAUAAUGAUCCUAUUGAUGUUUGUGAAAUAGGUUCAAAGGUUCGUUCUUCUGGUGAGAUUGUUCAAGUGAAGGUUUUGGGUGUUUUAGCUCUUGUUGAUGAAGGAGAGACAGAUUGGAAGAUAAUUGCUAUCAGUGUGGAUGACCCAGAAGCUCAUAAAAUCCAUGAUAUUGAUGAUGUCAAGAAGCACAAACCGGGUUACCUUGAGGCUACAGUUGACUGGUUCCGAUUAUAUAAAGUCCCUGAUGAUAAACCAGAAAAUCAUUUUGCUUUUAAUGGAGAAUUUAAAGACAAGGAUUUUGCUGCUGAAAUUAUUAAAUCCACCCAUGAACACUGGAAAGCUUUGCUUCAUAAAAAAGCUGAUGGAGGUACUAUUAAUUGCACAAAUGUUCUGGUGAGUGGCAGCCCAUUUUGUUGCAGUGAGGAGGAUGCCCGGUCAAUUGUUCAGUCGGGGAGGGGAGGACGUUAAUAAAACCAGUUCAUAAAACAGGCACCAGUGCAUGUGAAUGGAGAUUCUGUUUCCCCAGAAGUUGAUUUCUGGUACUUUUGUCCCAAGUGAUCAUCAAAGUCUUCUGGAGGUGCAUCAUCAAAUCUUAAAGUCGUCCCUUUUUUUGAAGAUGGGAAAGAGCACUAAUUGUUGGAUUCCUGUUGAAACAACUUUUCAACUUGUGUAAACCUUCUCUCUUGUAAAUAAACACUGCCAUUAUAAUAAA